GAUGGACGCUGGCGGCGUGCCUAAUACAUGCAAGUCGAGCGAACGGACGAGAAGCUUGCUUCUCUGAUGUUAGCGGCGGACGGGUGAGUAACACGUGGAUAACCUACCUAUAAGACAGGGAUAACUUCGGGAAACCGGAGCUAAUACCGGAUAAUAUUUUGAACCGCAUGGUUCAAAAGUGAAAGACGGUCUUGCUGUCACUUAUAGAUGGAUCCGCGCUGCAUUAGCUAGUUGGUAAGGUAACGGCUUACCAAGGCAACGAUGCAUAGCCGACCUGAGAGGGUGAUCGGCCACACUGGAACUGAGACACGGUCCAGACUCCUACGGGAGGCAGCAGUAGGGAAUCUUCCGCAAUGGGCGAAAGCCUGACGGAGCAACGCCGCGUGAGUGAUGAAGGUCUUCGGAUCGUAAAACUCUGUUAUUAGGGAAGAACAUAUGUGUAAGUAACUGUGCACAUCUUGACGGUACCUAAUCAGAAAGCCACGGCUAACUACGUG
RNAcentral lists this ribosomal RNA (497 nucleotides) under uncultured bacterium. RNAcentral describes it as "partial 16S ribosomal RNA". It matches the Rfam family "Bacterial small subunit ribosomal RNA", at positions 28 to 507 of the family's 1533-position model. The record is from RNAcentral.